AAGGGGCCUUGUUCUACAAGCUUGCUUUGAGCUUCAUCGGAGUAGGGCAGGAGGCCAAAGACAGUGAGCAUGUGGACACUGAGGCUGGGCCAGCAUUUAUUACCCAUCCCUAACUGGCCGGAAAACAGUUAAGAGAAACUACAUUUUUUUGGGUCUGGGGUCACAUGUAGGCUAAAACAGCAAAGGCAAUGUACCCACGUCAAAUUUCCAAAUCAUCGAUCAAAUAGAAGUAGAACCGAACCAAAAUUAAAGGAAG
Long non-coding RNA from Stegostoma tigrinum, 256 nucleotides. RefSeq lists it as uncharacterized. The transcript is spliced from 3 exons. The record is from RefSeq and is a predicted model, not a curated record. NCBI's taxonomy places the organism in Eukaryota, Metazoa, Chordata, Chondrichthyes, Orectolobiformes, Stegostomatidae.